Molecule: ribosomal RNA, 777 nt
Filed under: uncultured bacterium
Lineage: Bacteria
Description: bacterial SSU rRNA
Rfam family: Bacterial small subunit ribosomal RNA
Source: RNAcentral
GACGAACGCUGGCGGCGUGCCUAACACAUGCAAGUUGAGCGACGAACCAGGGCUUGCCCUGGGGCAAAGCAGCGAACGGGUGAGUAACACGUGGGCAACCUGCCCCGAUGACUGGGACAACCCGGAGGAAACUCGGGCUAAUACCGGAUGUGGUGCGCGAUCACAAGAUCACGUACCAAAGGAAGCUUCGGCCUCCGCAUCGGGAGGGGCCCGCGGCCCAUUAGCUAGUUGGUGAGGUAACGGCUCACCAAGGCGACGAUGGGUAGCUGGUCUGAGAGGACGAUCAGCCACACUGGGACUGAGACACGGCCCAGACUCCUACGGGAGGCAGCAGUGGGGAAUCUUGCGCAAUGCGCGAAAGCGUGACGCAGCAACGCCGCGUGUGGGAAGACGGCCUUCGGGUUGUAAACCACUUUCAGGGGGGACGAAGGCCGGGCAGUUAAUAGCUGUCCCGGUUGACGGUACCCCCCAGAAGCAGCCCCGGCUAACUACGUGCCAGCAGCCGCGGUAAUACGUAGGGGGCAAGCGUUGUCCGGAAUCAUUGGGCGUAAAGCGCACGUAGGCGGCCCGAUCAGUCCGCUGUGAAAGUCAAGGGCUCAACCCUUGAAUGCCGGUGGAUACUGUCGGGCUAGAGUCCGGAAGAGGCGAGUGGAAUUCCUGGUGUAGCGGUGGAAUGCGCAGAUAUCAGGAGGAACACCAUAGCGAAGGCAGGCUCGCUGGGGACGGUACUGACGCUAACGGUGCGAAAGCGUGGGGAGCGAACAGGAUUAGAUACCC